Molecule: ribosomal RNA, 525 nt
Filed under: bacterium
Lineage: Bacteria
Description: bacterial SSU rRNA
Rfam family: Bacterial small subunit ribosomal RNA
Source: RNAcentral
UUGCACAAUGGGCGCAAGCCUGAUGCAGCAACGCCGCGUGAGGGACGACGGCCUUCGGGUUGUAAACCUCUUUUAGUAGGGAAGAAGCGAAAGUGACGGUACCUGCAGAAAAAGCACCGGCUAACUACGUGCCAGCAGCCGCGGUAAUACGUAGGGUGCAAGCGUUGUCCGGAAUUAUUGGGCGUAAAGAGCUCGUAGGCGGUUUGUCGCGUCUGCUGUGAAAUCCCGAGGCUCAACCUCGGGCCUGCAGUGGGUACGGGCAGACUAGAGUGCGGUAGGGGAGAUUGGAAUUCCUGGUGUAGCGGUGGAAUGCGCAGAUAUCAGGAGGAACACCGAUGGCGAAGGCAGAUCUCUGGGCCGUAACUGACGCUGAGGAGCGAAAGCGUGGGGAGCGAACAGGAUUAGAUACCCUGGUAGUCCACGCCGUAAACGUUGGGAACUAGAUGUGGGGACCAUUCCACGGUCUCCGUGUCGCAGCUAACGCAUUAAGUUCCCCGCCUGGGGAGUACGGCCGCAAGGCUAAAA